CACAAGGCAAAAAGAAAAUGAAAGGUCCUUUCAGGAUAGUAGGUGUGAUCCUUUCCCAGUAAGUGCAAGGAGAAUGUUUUAUUCCUCAUCAACUUGCCUGGAUCAGGAUGUCCUUCUUGCCCUAAGAAAAUCCUUUGUAAUUAAACCUUUUUUCUGCAAUAUGUCAGGGCACAUAACAAGGAUUUUCCUGCCUGGAAGUAGUGUGAUCUUAGAUAUUUCUAGAUACAGCUCAGGCUGGAGGUAUGAACAGAAAUAUGAUCAUUUAUGCCCACCAUCUUUGAAGCUGGGAGGGUCCUGAUUUCAAUCUCAGCAACAAAGGGCAUGUGUAAGUAAUGCUUGGUUUAAAAGGUCUGAAAUGACUCUCAUCAUAUCCUCUGGCUGCCUGUCUCAUCCAGCCAGUCUCACCUCAUCCCAUAGGAACAGGCAGCUGGAUCCCAUCCGUGCUGCCAUCCCAGCCAUCCUGUAGCUGAGAUCACUGGGGCCAGAUAUCGUGAGGUGGGGGCUUGAGGGGCACUGUCCCCUGUUAAUACCCCUGUCACAUAGCACAGCUAUGCAGCAUCAUAGGCUCUCUCAGCCAAGAAGGCAAGAAGGCACACAGGGGUGGGAAGAAGCCCCAGGACUGACUCUUUUCUGAGGCUGAACCAGACCCUAGAUGAGAGAGGAACCCCAGGAGAUGGCCUUGUUUCCCCUACCAGCAAUGUGUUCUGCAGUCAAAGACUGAAAGCAACCCCAUCCCGCUCUGUGGUCCCCAUGUGUCACCACUGACGCCUGCCACUAGCUCUGCUGCACUCAUCUCCUUGGCUGCAUCAUGGAGGAUGCUCAGCCGCUGCCAUCCUGCUGUCACUGUCUCUCACACAGUUUGGCACACAAACAGCCAAAGGCUGAGGAGAUGUGCAAUGAGUAGUCAACCUUGCCAUUGCCUUUCUCAAUACUUUGAGAUGAUAAGCCACCAGCUGGCAGGUGGCUGCCAGUGUGUGGAGCCUUACACAGUUCUUCUGGCAGUUGAAGCACAGAAGGCAAUAUGCUCUCCACCAGAGAACAUCAGCUGGUGAUGUGUGAUGCUUUUUCUCAGAUAGGGGAUGGAUGUGAGAUGCUCCUGAUGCUGCCAGCACUUCUGAGACAGCAGGAUGUAUCAGCUUGGCUACUGCUUGACUUGCUCUGGGAAUCACACUUCAGCAUCAUAGCCCUGUACCUUCAGUCAGCAACCCAAGAACUGCAGUGAAGGCUGAGUAGGCACCUCCCCAGGACUCCCUGGGCUUCUCCUAGGGCUGUCCCUAGAGUGGCUCUUUACCCUUGGCUUUGUUUGGCAUCCCCAGCCCUUUCCUGUAACAGCAGCUGCUGGAAGUGUGAAUUUCCAGGCCUGAGGACUGCUCACUGGAGCAUGUGCAGUCCAAGAACCAGUGGAGAAAAGCACCAGGUCCCAUCCCUUGCUGUAGAUGCAAAACCUGCCUCAUUCUCAUUGCAGAAGAGUCUCACUGUGGGAAUCUGCAGCUCUCCCAUGCCUCCUGGUUAGUAGAGCUGUGGGGCUGUGAGGAUCCCUUGGCUUUCACCUGCAUGCACAUGGGCAGGUUUUGUUCCUAGCUGUGCUAGUUCUGCUUUUGGACAGGCCAAGGGCUGUCUGAUGAGCUGUUCGGGUGUUUGAGUCCAGAGCCUUGUCCAGGGCUACAACUGUCCCAGAUCUGAGCUGCUUUGGAGACAUCUGCCCUCCAGGGAUGAGAAGAGGUUCCCAGGCCUGCUGAGAAGAAAACCAUCGCUGCCUGCUUGGCACCGGAGCUUGGAUGGGAAUUCUGUUUUUCAUGAGCAGGCUGAGCGGUCAGCACAUACCAUGAGCAACAGUCAGAGGAGCAAUAAAUAGCCUACCCAGACCAGAAGGAGACAACCUGUUCAGACUGGACCACUCAUCCCCUGUGCUGGACAGAAUAACUAUUGCUCUGUGUCAAGGUCUCAUGUGCUGAGGAGAGAAAGCCUCUGGCCAGGCCCAGCCUGCACCUAGCGGGUUCUCCAAGAGCAGCCAUGGUUACUGCUUCAACCGGCACGUCCCAAGGAUGUGGUAGGCAGCCAUCAGGAUUGUCUUUGUUCCAGUGAGAUGUUUCACUCCUGCUCCCGAAGACGUGCCAAGAGGCAGAUGCCAUUGCUGCAGGCUGGCUGUGGACUUCUCCUCCAGGGCUGGUUCCCAUUUGGGAUUGAACCCCACCAUACUUCUCCAUUCCAGUGAAAGACCCAGCUUUGCUCAUUCUCCAGAAAAAGGAGCACUUUGAAAAUGUUAAGGUUCCAUAACUCAUACCAGGAAAACCUUGUGUUCCCCAAUGAGGUUUCUUUGUGGUCUUAUACCACCCGUAAGACUGUGGGGAAGAGGAGAGGUCCCAAAUAGCCAGUGCAAGCCCAUCACUUAGCAUUUCCCCUUCUCCCUUUUAAAGUCUACAACGGGAGCAGGCAUGAAAGGCAUUCCUGCAGCUACAGGCCAGUGUUUCUUCCCAGUCACCUCCUGCUGAGCAACAAAUCUGGGAUAGCCAGGGGUUGUAAAGUCCUCUGAACCUGAAAAGUGCUAACCAAGAGAAUAAAGCACAACAAGAGUGUUAUUAAUAAAUGCCAGCUGCUGUUAUAUAACUCCUAA
Long non-coding RNA from Pezoporus flaviventris, 2614 nucleotides. RefSeq lists it as uncharacterized. Lineage: Eukaryota; Metazoa; Chordata; Aves; Psittaciformes; Psittacidae. The record is from RefSeq and is a predicted model, not a curated record. The transcript is spliced from 2 exons.